UACGUAGGGUGCAAGCGUUAAUCGGAAUUACUGGGCGUAAAGCGUGCGCAGGCGGAUCAUCAAGUCGGGGGUGAAAUCCCGGGGCUCAACCCCGGAAUGGCCUUCGAGACUGGUGGUCUUGAGUUCGAGAGAGGUGAGUGGAAUUCCGAGUGUAGAGGUGAAAUUCGUAGAUAUUCGGAAGAACACCAGUGGCGAAGGCGACUGACUGGACAAGUAUUGACGCUGAGGUGCGAAAGCGUGGGGAGCAAACAGG
Molecule: ribosomal RNA, 253 nt
Filed under: uncultured bacterium
Lineage: Bacteria
Description: partial 16S ribosomal RNA
Rfam family: Bacterial small subunit ribosomal RNA
Source: RNAcentral